UACGUAGGGUGCGAGCGUUAAUCGGAAUUACUGGGCGUAAAGCGUGCGCAGGCGGUUUUGUAAGACAGGCGUGAAAUCCCCGGGCUCAACCUGGGAACUGCGCUUGUGACUGCAAGGUUAGAGUACGGCAGAGGGGGGUGGAAUUCCACGUGUAGCAGUGAAAUGCGUAGAGAUGUGGAGGAACACUAAUGGCGAAGGCAAUCCUCUGGGCCUGCACUGACGCUCAUGCACGAAAGCGUGGGGAGCAAACAGGAUUAGAUACCCCC
RNAcentral lists this ribosomal RNA (266 nucleotides) under uncultured archaeon. Its description in RNAcentral is "partial 16S ribosomal RNA". It matches the Rfam family "Bacterial small subunit ribosomal RNA", at positions 524 to 789 of the family's 1533-position model. The record is from RNAcentral.